This 1154-nucleotide ribosomal RNA is filed under the name uncultured organism. RNAcentral's name for it is "bacterial SSU rRNA". It matches the Rfam family "Bacterial small subunit ribosomal RNA", at positions 76 to 1231 of the family's 1533-position model. The record is from RNAcentral.
UCCUUCGGGAAUGCUGACGACCGGCGCACGGGUGAGUAACGCGUAUGCAACCUUCCUGUAUCUGGAGGAUAGGCCUUGGAAACGAGGAUUAAUACUGCGUAACAUUAUAUUAUCGCAUGGUAAAAUAAUCAAAUCUACGGAGGAUACAGAUGGGCAUGCGUGCCAUUAGCUAGAUGGUAAGGUAAGGGCUUACCAUGGCGACGAUGGCUAGGGGUUCUGCAAGGAAGAUCCCCCACACUGGUACUGAGACACGGACCAGACUCCUACGGGAGGCAGCAGUGAGGAAUAUUGGUCAAUGGAGGCAACUCUGAACCAGCCAAGCCGCGUGAAGGAAGACUGUUCUAUGAAUUGUAAACUUCUUUUGUGACAGAGUAAAGAUAGCUACGCGUAGUCAUUUGCAAGUAUGUCAUGAAUAAGCAUCGGCUAACUCCGUGCCAGCAGCCGCGGUAAUACGGAGGAUGCAGGCGUUAUCCGGAUUUAUUAGGUUUAAAGGGUGUUCAGGCUGUCUGGUAAGUCAGAGGUGAAAGUCGGUUGCUUAACGAUCGAAUUGCCUUUGAAACUGUCAGACUUGAGUAUGGAUGCGGUAGGCGGAAUGUGUAGUGUAGCGGUGAAAUGCAUAGAUAUUACACAGAACACCGAUUGCGAAAGCAGCUUACCAAACCAGCACUGACGCUGAAGCACGAAAGCGUGGGUAGCGAACAGGAUUAGAUACCCUGGUAGUCCACGCAGUAAACGAUGCUCACUCGCUGUUGGCAAUAGAUCGUCAGCGGCUAAGGGAAACCGAUAAGUGAGCCACCUGGGGAGUACGAUCGCAAGAUUGAAACUCAAAGGAAUUGACGGGGGCCCGCACAAGCGGUGGAACAUGUGGUUUAAUUCGAUGAUACGCGAGGAACCUUACCUGGGCUUAAAUGUACGAUGCAUAAGUGUGAAAGCACUUUCUCCUUCGGGACUUUGUACAAGGUGCUGCAUGGUUGUCGUCAGCUCGUGCCGUGAGGUGUCGGGUUAAGUCCCAUAACGAGCGCAACCCCUAUUGUUAGUUACCAGCGCGUAAAGGCGGGGACUCUAGCGAAACUGCCGGUGUAAACCGCGAGGAAGGUGGGGAUGACGUCAAAUCAGCACGGCCCUUAUGUCCAGGGCUACACACGUGUUACAAU